This 312-nucleotide unclassified non-coding RNA is filed under the name Hevea brasiliensis (rubber tree). Lineage: Eukaryota; Viridiplantae; Streptophyta; Magnoliopsida; Malpighiales; Euphorbiaceae. The record is from RNAcentral.
CACAAGCCUUAAAACAACUGAAGCCAAGGAAAGGUCUUGGGAGCUCAAUAGGGAGGCAAGGCAGCACUCCUACAGCUCAAACUCGAUGAGGAAAGGGUGAAAGCCACUAGACUGGUUGGGGAGGAGCCCCCUUGCACGACAGAAGCAAGGGAAGCCUCUAACAAGUAGCAAGAAAUGACAAUUCUCGUCGUAGAAAUACCCAAUAAAUAAAGAAAAAUUCUCUCUUAGAGAGUGUUGUUUUUUAUUAUUAGUUAGUGCUAUAUGAUUAAUUAGGUGUUUGAGAGUAAUAAUUUAAAAAUUCACAAAUUAGAG